RNAcentral lists this ribosomal RNA (1446 nucleotides) under uncultured organism. RNAcentral describes it as "SSU rRNA". It matches the Rfam family "Bacterial small subunit ribosomal RNA". The record is from RNAcentral.
UACAGGCUUAACACAUGCAAGUCGAGGGGCAGCAUGGUCUUAGCUUGCUAAGGCCGAUGGCGACCGGCGCACGGGUGAGUAACGCGUAUCCAACCUGCCUUACACUCUUGGACAGCCUUCUGAAAGGGAGAUUAAUACAAGAUGUUAUCAUGAGUAAGCAUUUUCGCAUGAUUAAAGGUUUACCGGUGUAAGAUGGGGAUGCGUUCCAUUAGAUAGUAGGCGGGGUAACGGCCCACCUAGUCUUCGAUGGAUAGGGGUUCUGAGAGGAAGGUCCCCCACAUUGGAACUGAGACACGGUCCAAACUCCUACGGGAGGCAGCAGUGAGGAAUAUUGGUCAAUGGACGAGAGUCUGAACCAGCCAAGUAGCGUGAAGGAUGAAGGUUCUAUGGAUUGUAAACUUCUUUUAUACGGGAAUAAACGAAUCCACGUGUGGAUUUUUGCAUGUACCGUAUGAAUAAGGAUCGGCUAACUCCGUGCCAGCAGCCGCGGUAAUACGGAGGAUCCGAGCGUUAUCCGGAUUUAUUGGGUUUAAAGGGAGCGUAGAUGGGUUGUUAAGUCAGUUGUGAAAGUUUGCGGCUCAACCGUAAAAUUGCAAUUGAUACUGGCAGUCUUGAGUACAGUUGAGGUAGGCGGAAUUCGUGGUGUAGCGGUGAAAUGCUUAGAUAUCACGAAGAACUCCGAUUGCGAAGGCAGCUUACUAACCUGUAACUGACAUUGAUGCUCGAAAGUGUGGGUAUCAAACAGGAUUAGAUACCCUGGUAGUCCACACGGUAAACGAUGAAUACUCGCUGUAGGCGAUAUACAGUCUGCGGCCAAGCGAAAGCAUUAAGUAUUCCACCUGGGGAGUACGCCGGCAACGGUGAAACUCAAAGGAAUUGACGGGGGCCCGCACAAGCGGAGGAACAUGUGGUUUAAUUCGAUGAUACGCGAGGAACCUUACCCGGGCUUAAAUUGCAACCGAAUAUGGCGGAAACGCUAUAGCUAGCAAUAGCGGUUGUGAAGGUGCUGCAUGGUUGUCGUCAGCUCGUGCCGUGAGGUGUCGGCUUAAGUGCCAUAACGAGCGCAACCCUUGCCGAUAGUUACUAACAGGUCAUGCUGAGGACUCUGUCGGGACUGCCAUCGUAAGAUGUGAGGAAGGUGGGGAUGACGUCAAAUCAGCACGGCCCUUACGUCCGGGGCUACACACGUGUUACAAUGGGGGGUACAGAGGGCUGCUACCACGCAAGUGGAUGCCAAUCCCAAAAACCUCUCUCAGUUCGGAUUGAAGUCUGCAACCCGACUUCAUGAAGCUGGAUUCGCUAGUAAUCGCGCAUCAGCCACGGCGCGGUGAAUACGUUCCCGGGCCUUGUACACACCGCCCGUCAAGCCAUGGGAGCCGGGGGUACCUGAAGUGCGUAACCGCAAGGAGCGCCCUAGGGUAAAACUGGUGACUGGGGCUAAGUCAU